AUUGAACGCUGGCGGCAUGCCUUACACAUGCAAGUCGAACGGCAGCACGGGAGCAAUCCUGGUGGCGAGUGGCGAACGGGUGAGUAAUAUAUCGGAACGUGCCCGGUCGUGGGGGAUAACGUAGCGAAAGCUACGCUAAUACCGCAUACGAUCUACGGAUGAAAGCGGGGGAUCGCAAGACCUCGCGCGAUUGGAGCGGCCGAUAUCAGAUUAGGUAGUUGGUGAGGUAAAGGCUCACCAAGCCGACGAUCUGUAGCUGGUCUGAGAGGACGACCAGCCACACUGGGACUGAGACACGGCCCAGACUCCUACGGGAGGCAGCAGUGGGGAAUUUGGACAAUGGGCGCAAGCCUGAUCCAGCAAUGCCGCGUGCAGGAUGAAGGCCUUC
RNAcentral lists this ribosomal RNA (388 nucleotides) under uncultured bacterium. RNAcentral's name for it is "bacterial SSU rRNA". It matches the Rfam family "Bacterial small subunit ribosomal RNA", at positions 29 to 419 of the family's 1533-position model. The record is from RNAcentral.